GGGCGCGUAGCAUAAUUGGGAGUGCGUCAUCCCUGCAAGAUGAAUGGUGAGAGUUCGAGUCUCUUCGCGUCCA
Molecule: transfer RNA, 73 nt
Filed under: Chloroflexota bacterium
Lineage: Bacteria; Bacillati; Chloroflexota
Description: Chloroflexi bacterium (groundwater metagenome) tRNA-Ala
Rfam family: tRNA
About the family: Transfer RNA (tRNA) molecules are approximately 80 nucleotides in length. Their secondary structure includes four short double-helical elements and three loops (D, anti-codon, and T loops).
Source: RNAcentral